UGAACGCUGGCGGCAGGCCUAACACAUGCAAGUCGAGCGGUAGAGAGAAGCUUGCUUCUCUUGAGAGCGGCGGACGGGUGAGUAAUGCCUAGGAAUCUGCCUGGUAGUGGGGGAUAACGCUCGGAAACGGACGCUAAUACCGCAUACGUCCUACGGGAGAAAGCAGGGGACCUUCGGGCCUUGCGCUAUCAGAUGAGCCUAGGUCGGAUUAGCUAGUUGGUGAGGUAAUGGCUCACCAAGGCGACGAUCCGUAACUGGUCUGAGAGGAUGAUCAGUCACACUGGAACUGAGACACGGUCCAGACUCCUACGGGAGGCAGCAGUGGGGAAUAUUGGACAAUGGGCGAAAGCCUGAUCCAGCCAUGCCGCGUGUGUGAAGAAGGUCUUCGGAUUGUAAAGCACUUUAAGUUGGGAGGAAGGGCAUUAACCUAAUACGUUGGUGUCUUGACGUUACCGACAGAAUAAGCACCGGCUAACUCU
RNAcentral lists this ribosomal RNA (479 nucleotides) under Pseudomonas sp. SC1. Its description in RNAcentral is "bacterial SSU rRNA". It matches the Rfam family "Bacterial small subunit ribosomal RNA", at positions 30 to 504 of the family's 1533-position model. The record is from RNAcentral. Lineage: Bacteria; Pseudomonadati; Pseudomonadota; Gammaproteobacteria; Pseudomonadales; Pseudomonadaceae.